Molecule: small RNA, 318 nt
Filed under: Mesocricetus auratus (golden hamster)
Lineage: Eukaryota; Metazoa; Chordata; Mammalia; Rodentia; Cricetidae
Description: 7SK RNA (ENSMAUG00000006467.1)
Rfam family: 7SK RNA
About the family: 7SK was discovered as an abundant small nuclear RNA in the mid-70s but a possible function has only recently been suggested. Two independent studies have found that 7SK RNA binds the CDK9/cyclin T complex (known as elongation factor P-TEFb).
Source: RNAcentral
AGGUCUGAGAAAGGUAAGGAUGUCUGCUUUACCUCCUUCUAGUCCUUACCAUACUAUCUGUUAUCACACUCAUUGCCAGAGUUGAUUCAUAUGAUCUGGUUGGCUGGGCUGUGUCCGUUCUUUUCUCACUGUUCCCUGUGUGUUCACCCCACAGAUGCAUGCUCAAUGAGGAUGACCUUCCUCAAUAUAGGAGAUCUGUUCUUGGGUCAAGGGUAUGUGAGUACCCAUGUUCUGCUAAAACCUCCCCAAGGCUCUCAAGGUCUGCAGUGUUAUAUUGGGUUUGUUAACCAGUCCAACAAGGCAAGAAAAAUAAUUUUG